AUUGAACGCUGGCGGCAUGCCUUACACAUGCAAGUCGAACGGGUAACGCGGGGGCAACCCUGGCGACGAGUGGCGAACGGGUGAGUAAUACAUCGGAACGUACCCAGUAGUGGGGGAUAGCUCGGCGAAAGCCGGAUUAAUACCGCAUACGACCUAUGGGUGAAAGCGGGGGAGUCGCAAGACCUCGCGCUAUUGGAGCGGCCGAUGUCGGAUUAGCUAGUU
RNAcentral lists this ribosomal RNA (222 nucleotides) under uncultured bacterium. RNAcentral's name for it is "partial 16S ribosomal RNA". It matches the Rfam family "Bacterial small subunit ribosomal RNA", at positions 30 to 250 of the family's 1533-position model. The record is from RNAcentral.